UCGAUUCCCUUAGUAGCGGCGAGCGAAACGGGAAGAGCCCAAACCAACAAGCUUGCUUGUUGGGGUUGUAGGACACUCUAUACGGAGUUACAAAGGACGACAUUAGACGAAUCAUCUGGAAAGAUGAAUCAAAGAAGGUAAUAAUCCUGUAGUCGAAAAUGUUGUCUCUCUUGAGUGGAUCCUGAGUACGACGGAGCACGUGAAAUUCCGUCGGAAUCUGGGAGGACCAUCUCCUAAGGCUAAAUACUCUCUAGUGACCGAUAGUGAACCAGUACCGUGAGGGAAAGGUGAAAAGCACCCCGGAAGGGGAGUGAAAUAGAACCUGAAACCGUGUGCUUACAAGUAGUCAGAGCCCGUUAAUGGGUGAUGGCGUGCCUUUUGUAGAAUGAACCGGCGAGUUACGAUUUGAUGCAAGGUUAAGCAGUAAAUGUGGAGCCGUAGCGAAAGCGAGUCUGAAUAGGGCGUUUAGUAUUUGGUCGUAGACCCGAAACCAGGUGAUCUACCCUUGGUCAGGUUGAAGUUCAGGUAACACUGAAUGGAGGACCGAACCGACUUACGUUGAAAAGUGAGCGGAUGAACUGAGGGUAGCGGAGAAAUUCCAAUCGAACCUGGAGAUAGCUGGUUCUCUCCGAAAUAGCUUUAGGGCUAGCCUCAAGUGAUGAUUAUUGGAGGU
RNAcentral lists this ribosomal RNA (673 nucleotides) under Staphylococcus aureus. Its description in RNAcentral is "partial 23S ribosomal RNA". It matches the Rfam family "Bacterial large subunit ribosomal RNA", at positions 231 to 903 of the family's 2925-position model. Lineage: Bacteria; Bacillati; Bacillota; Bacilli; Caryophanales; Staphylococcaceae. The record is from RNAcentral.